RNAcentral lists this long non-coding RNA (1624 nucleotides) under Marmota monax (woodchuck). Lineage: Eukaryota; Metazoa; Chordata; Mammalia; Rodentia; Sciuridae. The record is from RNAcentral.
AGUGAGUAGUGAAAUUCUCUGAAGGAGGUACAUCGAAUCUACUCCUUGGAGGCCCUAAGAAGCAAAGUCAAGGCUUCAUUCUUUGGCUUCUCUGGGAGUAACUUCCAAUGAAGGAGGAAGGAGAAAUGGCCUGAAGGGUGGUAGCAAAGGGCUCUCCACUUAGGACAGUGGCAGAGCAGGUGAAGGAGCAGAUCAGUAAGUCCAAAGGACUCCAGCUCAAGAUUAUGGAUUUAGAGUAACCAAGCCAGAGAAAUAUUGUUUGGGAGAAGGGAGUGUUUGCUGUGAUGCUGGAUUCCGGCAGGGAGGGACCCCACAGAGUUGAAUUGGGGUGCCGCAUGGGGAAUCCUCACCGUUUGACUAGUCACUUUCCAGUUAUGGAAACAAAGUCCUAGCAGGUAGGCUGCUGCUGUGGUUCUGCACAGCGUGGCCAACAGUGCAAGGAGAAUAGCUGUAGUGAGAACAAUUCCUGCAAAAGGCUCGAAGCCCAGAUGUUCACUGAGUCUAUCAGAAGAAGGCUGCCACAGGGGGCUGUGUGUGACCUGUCUCAACUUCACUGUGGUUUGGUUUGUUGCCAGGUACCGUGAAUACAUGGCUCCACUCCAUACUCUUAAUAGUGCCUGGAGGUAAGAGCAUUAGCCUAUUCAUAGAUGAGGAAACUGAGGGUCAGAGAGGAAAAGUAACUUCUAAGGUCUAUUGCUUAAAAAAGGUAAUGACAGUAUGUAAUAUAUAUUAUUAUAUGUGUAAUGAUAAUGAAUGCCAUAUGUGAUGAUGAUAAUACCUAUGUAAUAUAUUUAGAAAAUGAAAACAAACAUUUGAAAAUACUGUAGAUUACUGGGCAUUAAAGCAGGACCUUGCUGAACACUUGACAUGAAAUGGCUCAUCUACUGUGGCCACCUUAUAAAGUAGGCGUUUUGAUGUUUCCUGCUGUAGCCCCAGGUCUUGGCAUUGGGCCUGACAUGUGUAGAGUGAAUGAAUAGAGAUGGAGUUGAAGCAGCAGGAUGGCCAGCACAGCUACAGGCAGCUUGAUUUGGACAAGUGAUUUUUAAAGUCCAGGAAACAUUGACAUCCACUCUACCAAGUUAAAACAUGGAUACUGCCUGGUGUUGGUGAGGGUGAGGGACACACAUGCUUUUCUACCUUCCUGGUGAGAAUGUAAAUCAGUAUAUACUUUCUGGGAAACAAAAUGUAGAAAGGGUGUCACCUUUCAAGUAAGCACACAGCUAGCCAUUUGACAUGAGGCAAUAAUUGGGCAAUGGUACAGAUACAGAUUGUAUACAAUAGUAAAAAGUGCCCAUAAUUAGGGGUUGGUUUAACAGAACCAUGAUCCAUUCAUACCACAAUAGCAUCCAUGUAUAGCUAAUAGAGAAUGGUUGUCAUCUGUGUGCUGGUUAAUAACUCACCUGGUCACCACAACCCCCCAUGAGGUAGAAGCUAUUAGCAUUCCCAUUUUGUAGAUGAGGAAAUGGGUGCAGAGAGCUAAAGGGACUUGAGAUCACACAUCUGGGGAGACAGGAGAAAGAAUCUGGACCCUGGCUGCUGGUUCCCAGCCUGGGCUAUUCUGUUCAUGGUUCACUUGAUGAUGAAUGACAUCCACCUAAAUUCAUCAACCUGGGAUCUGGUGCAC